GACGAACGCUGGCGGCGUGCUUAACACAUGCAAGUCGAGCGGUAAGGCCCUUUCGGGGGUACGACGAGCGGCGAACGGGUGAGUAACACGUGGGUGACCUGCCCUUAGCUCUGGGAUAAGCCUGGGAAACUGGGUCUAAUACCGGAUAUGACUCCAUGACGCAUGUUGUGGGGUGGAAAGCCUUGUGCGGCUAGGGAUGGGCCCGCGGCCUAUCAGCUUGUUGGUGGGGUGAUGGCCUACCAAGGCGACGACGGGUAGCCGGCCUGAGAGGGCGACCGGCCACACUGGGACUGAGACACGGCCCAGACUCCUACGGGAGGCAGCAGUGGGGAAUCUUGCGCAAU
RNAcentral lists this ribosomal RNA (344 nucleotides) under uncultured bacterium. RNAcentral's name for it is "bacterial SSU rRNA". It matches the Rfam family "Bacterial small subunit ribosomal RNA", at positions 28 to 372 of the family's 1533-position model. The record is from RNAcentral.